This 6989-nucleotide long non-coding RNA is filed under the name Lingula anatina. Its description in RNAcentral is "uncharacterized LOC106160004, transcript variant X1". Lineage: Eukaryota; Metazoa; Brachiopoda; Lingulata; Lingulida; Lingulidae. The record is from RNAcentral.
CCUCGAAGGGAGGGCUAGACGGACAGCGAAGGUUAUUCAUUUACAGAUAUAUUGAGAGAAGAACGUUAUAUGGAGGGAGAUAUAAUCAAGGCACCUCACAUAUAAGCUGUACCUCGUUGUGUGCGGAGAGACUAGUCCACUGCUGGUAGUGGUAGUCUCAACAAACAUGAAGACAGGGUAGGCAGCCAUGUUUGCAGCAAAAAUCUGGUCACAUGGAAUAAGCAUGUAAAGGUUGAGUGAGAUGUCACAGAUGAUGUCUAGUCUCACUCUUCAUUCUGUAAAACCCCAGUCAUGUUUAGCAAUGAGACCUGAAAGACUGGCCAGGAGUUGAAGCAUUUGUAGUUUUAAAUAACUAGUAAGUCCUGGUACCAGACCUGUUAUUAUGUGAAGAUUGGACAAGAUGUCGGUUCCACGGGUGCCGAUAACACUCCUUAUCUGUGACCUGUUCUCCUCGGCAGUCUGUGCUGCCACGAUAUCGUAUCCCCCCCUUUUUGCAGUGAAAAGGUGAUUGCUGUUUCAAGUCAUGGCAUUUGCUGCCAUCCAAAUUAUAGAAGACCUAUUGAGACUUGUGAACUGCAGGUUUUUAUCAGUGUUUUCCGAAUGGAAUUCAGGUGAAACAAUAACAACAUAUUUUCCUCAACAAGUACACAUCACUUUGAGAGCAUUACGGGAAGUUUAAAUGCAUAGUCCAAGAGUUACUGCAUAAACUUCACCAUGGGGGUCAACAUCCGAGUUCACAGACACUAAUAACGAGUAUGGCCACCAUUAGUUUCAAGCAGAGCAGCACAUCGAUGACGCAUGGACAUCACUAGGUUGUCAAUAAUGGCCUGAGGGACAUUAUCCCAUUCCUCCUGGAGUGUUAUUCACAGUUGGCGGACAUUCUCGGGAGCUGGAACAUGACGGCGUACAUGCUGAUCCAGAACAUCCCAAAGGUGUUCGAUGGGCAACAUAUCAGGCGAAUACGUCGGCCAGUUGAGGACAGGAAUAUUCAUUUCCUCCAAGAAGUCCCUGCAUAUUCUUGCCAUGUGUGGACGGGCAUUAUCAUGUUGAAAGGUAACAUGAUGGGAGUGCCACAAAUGGUGCAAUGAUGGGUUGCAAUAUCUCAUCUCUGUAUCGUUGGCCAUUCAAGUUGCCAACAAUAAAAUGCAAACGUGUGCGCUGUCCAUAGCAAAUGCCGGCCCAUACCAUUACACUACCUCCACCAUGAGCCACCCGUCGAAGGACAUUAGCGUUGGCAAAACACACACCAACACGGCGCCAAACACAGCGUCUGCCAUCAGCGUGGUGCAGCUGGAACCGGGAUUCAUCACUGAAGAGCACUGUCCUCCACCGUGCAAGUGUCCAGCGCACAUGAACAUUGGCCCAAUUCAAUCGGGUCUGAUGUCGGACCGCCGUGAGGUCGAGGCCCCCGGUGUGGACGACGUGCUUGAAGUCCAGCCUCCCGCAGACGGUUCCUUACUGUCUGGGCUGAAAUACGCCUGUUUUGACGACCAACAGUCUCAUCAACAGUCCUGGUUGCUGGUGAUUGAGUUCCUGUACUCAACUUUUUGGUAAUAUAGUGAUUGGCCGGUCAAAGGGCAACUUGGGUCUUAAAGUUUUCCUCUGCGUGUGUUCCCAUAUUCUGCUGCAUAUUGGUGACGUAGAUGAUUCCCUUCCAUGCAUUUUAAAGAUUUAUAGUACUGUUGGUUGAUAGCAUUACUGGAAUUGUAGUCCAAUUUGAAAAAAAAUAAUUAAAAUUCUUUUCUUAAAAUUUAUUGUCUAUGGUUACUCUAGGUCUGGCAAGUCUUCCUCCUCUGAUGUGCAUGUUUGGCAUAGGUUAGCACUGGGCAAGAUGCUACUCCACAGCCCAGCAGCCUCUGAGUCCCUGUUGUCCGAGUCGUUGUCUCUAUUUGGGUGUCAGUUGGGUGUUACAGGGGUCGUGGCAGUAGUGUCCACUUACCACAGCAUGGGCUCUUUCUUUCUCUCUCGCUUAUUCUCUCCCAGCUUCUUUCUCUACUGUUUUUCUUUGUCUUCUACCUGGUGAUUGCUGAAAUGGCACUUCCCUGUUAUUUGUACAAUUAGUCCGCUGGGGCCUUGUAGUACUUUGUUCGUUAAUUGAGUCAGCUGGCCCAAUUUUUUUGCUGCAUUUUGACAAACAAAUUAUUUACCUCUGGCAGAUCUGCAGUAAUAUGUCUUACUGCAAAGAUCAACGAUACCGUCACCAAUCCACUCUGCUUAAAAUAAUCUGGGGUACAUUUUCAGGCGUAUCAGUGCGCAGAAACCAUAGAUGUUUUUCUGCUUUGUACUGCUUCCUCAUGUGAGGUUUAAUUAAGUAUUUUAAGCUAAUUGCCGAAAAAGAUAACCAAGAAUUAACAAACAUCCGUAUAUUGUGCCAAAAUAUGCACAGGUACCAGCAUCUGGAUUUCAUUUUGUAGGAAUGCUUAGCCACAAUGCAAUCAUGAAGGUCUACUCCUAUGUUUUCAUUGUAUGACUUCAUUACUGCAGGGCGUUGAACACCUACAUGCGAUUUCUGCGCUUUGUCAUAUCUUCUGACGCUGUUCAUCAGAUGAACAACAUGCAACGUGGAUAGAAUGAUGACAGCCCUGUGCCUUGAGGACAUCUUGGUCUAAAGUAGACUAGAAGCUCUUGCCUUGAGAAGUUUGUUCCUGAUGGGAGGGCAUCAGGUACUGAGCCUCGCCUGGGAGGGUGGGGCCAGGUGUAGGAGGUUUGCAGGAAAGCAUUGUAAGUAUAUUAUGCUGAAAACCUGGAAGGCACAUUGCCAAUGAUAUGGCAAUAUAGGGGGAUUUCGUUUCUCUGCUAGGGGCAUGGUAAAUGAUACCUGCCCAUCAUCGUUGACCUUUGGCUGGGGUAUUACAGAAAGGUGGGAGGAAGUAGGGAUUUCAUGGGUAUUUUCUUUAGCCUAGAUCUGCAAGCCCUAUAAUUAUUACAAGGACAGUAAAUGUCUUGCCUUCAAUUAAUUACUUCUUACUCUUCACAGAUUUUCUGGUGUUUGCUGUGGUAAAACGCCCAAUCUCUGGCUGUUCAUUUUGCUUCAGCAGAUCACUGCAUUGCAAAAGAGAAUGGAAAGGGGGCCAAAGGCAUAUAUUAUAUAUUCAACAUUUGCAUGCAGUGCUCAGCAAGGUUUUUGCCAGGUUUCACAUUUUUUCAGGCUAGCAUCUGUAUGACGCAUUGUUGUAAUUAAGACCUUCUCUUUACUUACGUGAACAAUAUGAGGAUUCUUUUCAGUCUUUUCCAUAAAAGAAAUUUCACAUAACGACUGAACUUCUUUUGGUUUAUUCUGGAAAAAAAGGAAUAUCCAUGUUUAGAAAGAAAUGUCAGCAACAGUAAAAUUUAAGAGUUUCCAUAACAGUAAAUUGAUGUUAUUCCUAAGAAUGGACAGAUUGAUUCUUAAUUCUGUCCAAUAAGAGUAGGAUUUCAUCAUAUUUGCUGCACCCACUGCACUGUCUGCGUAAUGACGUAUCAAUUUCAGUUGUUUUUGUUCUUUAAUUUAAUCCAGGCAUGUUCUUUUCAAUUCUCACGCCCCUUGCUCGAUUUUUUUCUCUCUUGUCACUAUGUUAUUUGAAUUAAUAUACUCUAAGGUUUACAAUUGGUUCCCAAGUAUUUCUGCUAUAAGGGAACGCCUUCCACUUAAAAAGGUACUUGUCUCUUGCUGGAGGUGCUGGGCCACCCCUGUUCAUUCCUUUGGUUGCUGGGAGAUUUCCCAUACCUAUGGCUUCGCGCAUUCUUUAUCAGGACACACUGCACGCCAAGCUGGGGCUAGUACUGAAUUGUCAGUACUGCUCUCAGUUCUUACUACCUCGGGACAUAUCCAACCCAUUUGUCUAAUUGUGUCUAAGAAAUAUUUACAUAUGAUUGAACUCUUAUGGUUUGUGUGGUUAUGCUUUAACCAAAUAAUUCUCCUGGAAAACCCAUCAAUGCAACCAUAUACUUCAAAAUCAUGGCAUCGUUUCUGUCAGCUAUCUUUUUAUGCCAAGUAUCUGGCACUGGAGCAGGUAACCUUUAAAGAAAAAAAAUUGUGAUGAUGUACCAAAGAAAUGGUAUUACUCUGUUCUUGCUUCUGUAGAUGACCAUCUUAUUUGCCAACAAGGAGUCAGCAACACCAGUUUCUGCCAGUGAUUUUGAGUUUUCUGUUCUGUCUCUGUACUGCUGCCCUUAGCCACUGCUACUAUUUCUACUCUUAGGAUAAAUAGGUGUCUCAUGGAUGCCCUCUUCAAUUCCUGCAACAAAAUCAUUAUGGUGUUCUAGCUGAAUUUGCAGUGUGUGUGUCCCUUCUUUUUAUAUGGCAGUAUGCUGUGAAAAGUUUUUCGCCUUCUAGUUGUCUAACAAAUGGUUACUUCUUUUGCAUAAUACUUACCUGUAAAAGCUAAUUGAUUCUUUUUGAUUUAUCUCUCUUCCAGUGUUUUUCUGUCUUUGAUUUCACAUUCUCCCAAGUAACUUGUGCCCUUUCUCUUAUGUUUUGUGUGGAUCCUCCAAAAGAGACUUCAAUAGUAAACAGUAAGUCACGGAUAAUCCAUCACAUUCAUACAUUGAACGAAAAAAUUAAUUCUUAUGCCCUUUACAAGUUCCCCAUCUUCAGUAUAAGAAAAAGUUUAUUCUGCAUAUUACUACUAUUUAUUCUUAGCUAUGUAGUCACCUUAAAAAGUCUUCUUCAGUGUAUACACUUACAAAGAAGUAUUCUCAUAUAUAAUACAAGGUAGUACAGCUAUAAAACAAGCAUACUCUUUGCUUGACCAAGCCCUGCACUUUAAGAUAUCUUUGGAAAUUAUAUUCCAUGCACUGUGUAAGUUGGUCGAAGCACAAACAAUUACUAGGCUGUCUGAUUUUCUGCUGUCUAACAAAGCCAUGUUGCCAUAGAAACAGCGACGUGCAGUGAACUGCGUGUGAUAAUGUGCCAGAGCUAUGUGUCAAUCAAUUUUAAUUAAAAAAGUUAUCGCAUGUAUAAUAAAAACUGACCAUAGUUGUCAGUAUCUUAUGUAUCCUCCCUCUACUUGGAUACAUUCUUAGCACUUUCUACUCUGUCGUGGUACGCAAAUUUAUGAAUAACCAUCAUAGCUUUAAUUGUGGGACUGGGCCCGUAUCUGUCUAAGAGUGACCUUUGCACAGUUUGAAAGUUAGAUUUGUCCAUUAAGAUUAAAAAGAUGAAUCGUUAGAGCUAGAUGCAGAGGGUGCUGGUCUGUUGGGUCAAUGAGGUGGUGGUAUUGUGGUGUUGGUGGCCCAGGUAUCCUGGAUGGUGUUGUACGCCCAUAGUGGCAACGGGAGGCGUCUGUAUUUUGGAGUUAGAUCAGCCAUAGUGAGGAAUGCUAUUUGAGGACACUUACUCAUUCCAUUUCCAGUCAGAUGGGGAUUGGGGACUGGGUCACCAAGGAGGAUGAUAACCCUCUGGCUCUGGUAGGUUGGUGCUCCUGUUUGGUUGAACAAUAUGGCCAGGAAGAAGCAGACCUCACCAGGGUAUCUGCCUGAUGGCUGAAUGCCUUGGGAGUGGCGAAAUCGAAGUUGGCGAUCAGUGCCUGGUUGCACAGGAGCUUGGGCAGGGCUUUCAGGUUAUGUUGUCAUCUUGGUAGUUGUGGAUUUUAUUUUAUCUAAUUGGGUGCUCAGGGCGUUCAGUGUCACCAUGGCUGAAGAGGGCUGAAUUGGGUCUCAGCUUGGCAGGCAUGCUGGACGAGGUGCUCAAAUGUCUGCAGAGCAUGUUAAGCUACAAAUGGCCUGAUUUCAGGUAAAACCCCAUGCAGGAUUGCCUGAAUGGUAUGUUCAGUAUGGAGCUGGACUUUCGUGGCCUCGCAUCUCAUUUCAGCAAUGUAGCCUUGAAUUGGCUGGUCUGGUUUCGGAGUCUUGUGAAAUAAUUUCGAGACCAUAACCCAUCUGGGGUUCUCCGUUGGUUUAAAGCUCUCCUUAAGGAGUCUAUGGUGCCUUUUUGUUGAUCUGACAGCCUGUCAAACCAAUCCUGGGCCACAUUUCUAAGCAACAGUGAGUAGGAAGCAAGUUGCUGCGCCUCAUUCAUGUUUCAGAUCAAUUUUCAGAUGCCACAGCCACCUGCCUGGGUCUUCUUGAGGGGUUCCAUUGACCUUACCUGACAAAAGGAACUACGCGGUAUAGCUUUAAUUGAGGGGUUUUCACUUUAAACCUUAUGUUAGCCCAUGACAGUAGCCUUUCCUUGUGAUUUUGGUGCUCUUUGAAUGCAUGGCAUAAUAACUUCUUAACAUUGCCCUAUACCCUUAUACAAUGUUAUUGUAUGCUGACAAACAGUGAUGUCGGGUGCCUUGCAUGUAUUGCUUUGUGCGCUGUUGAUGUGGACAUAUUUUUGGUGUUGCUUUGUACCUUACAGUGUCAUUAUUUAUCUAUGACAGUUAAGACAACUUGUGUGUAUUUUAAACAAUAGUGUUUCUUCACACAAUAUUUUCUUGGCCAGUAUAGGUGAUCUUUCCAUUGAGAAUUUUUCAUCACUUUAUGCUCUCAGAAAUAUAUACACCUAUCAGAAUUGUGACCAAGCUGUCUAUACAGCAAACAUUUUGCAUUCUAUUUGUUAACCUGCAGGUAGUUUCAUUGGCUAUAAUUAUAUUUUAUAUCUUUUAAUUCAACUGACUUAAGUUCCACAUAUAAUGUUAUGAUGCAACUGACAAUAGUUAUACAUUUAACAUUAUUUUACAGUAAGACAUAGUUAUGUGUUGUGAAAUCGAUCUAAAAUCUGGGAAGUUUGUAUAUAUUUAACAUUAUUUUACAGUAGGACAUAGUUAUGUGUUGUGAAAUCGAUCUAAAAUCUGGGAAGUUUGUAUAUAUUUAACAUUAUUUUACAGUAGGACAUAGUUAUGUGUUGUGAAAUCGAUCUAUAAUCUGGGAAGUUUGUAUCUACCUCUUGUCAUCAAAGAUAUAGUAAGAUAACUGCUCAAAGUAUUGAAGAUAGAUAGAGCAUUAAUGUUUUAAAAGUAAAUUCAAUUUAAAAAAAUAUUUGCAAGUGAAAGAAUUCUGUGUAAAGAUUACAUUAAUAAAAUUGG